UGGCGGCGUGCUUACACAUGCAAGUCGAACGGAAAGGCCCCUUCGGGGGUACUCGAGUGGCGAACGGGUGAGUAACACGUGGGUGACCUGCCCUGCACUUCGGGAUAAGCCUGGGAAACUGGGUCUAAUACCGGAUAGGACCGCAUCGUGAGGAUGUGGUGGAAAGUUUUUUCGGUGCAGGAUGGGCCCGCGGCCUAUCAGCUUGUUGGUGGGGUAAUGGCCUACCAAGGCGGCGACGGGUAGCCGGCCUGAGAGGGUGGACGGCCACAUUGGGACUGAGACACGGCCCAGACUCCUACGGGAGGCAGCAGUGGGGAAUAUUGCACAAUGGGCGCAAGCCUGAUGCAGCGACGCCGCGUGGGGGAUGAAGGCCUUCGGGUUGUAAACUCCUUUCAUCAUCGACGAAGGGCUCACUUGUUGUGGGUUUGACGGUAGGUGGAGAAGAAGCACCGGCUAACUACGUGCCAGCAGCCGCGGUAAUACGUAGGGUGCGAGCGUUGUCCGGAAUUACUGGGCGUAAAGAGCUCGUAGGUGGUUUGUCGCGUCGUCUGUGAAAUUCCGGGGCUUAACUCCGGGCGUGCAGGCGAUACGGGCAUAACUUGAGUGCUGUAGGGGAGACUGGAAUUCCUGGUGUACCGGUGAAAUGC
This 647-nucleotide ribosomal RNA is filed under the name uncultured bacterium. RNAcentral's name for it is "bacterial SSU rRNA". It matches the Rfam family "Bacterial small subunit ribosomal RNA", at positions 37 to 689 of the family's 1533-position model. The record is from RNAcentral.